AACACAUGCAAGUCGAGCGGUAGCACAGGGGAGCUUGCUCCCUGGGGUGACGAGCGGCGGACGGGUGAGUAAUGUCUGGGAAACUGCCUGAUGGAGGGGGAUAACUACUGGAAACGGUAGCUAAUACCGCAUAACGUCGCAAGACCAAAGAGGGGGACCUUCGGGCCUCUUGCCAUCAGAUGUGCCCAGAUGGGAUUAGCUAGUAGGUGGGGUAAUGGCUCACCUAGGCGACGAUCCCUAGCUGGUCUGAGAGGAUGACCAGCCACACUGGAACUGAGACACGGUCCAGACUCCUACGGGAGGCAGCAGUGGGGAAUAUUGCACAAUGGGCGCAAGCCUGAUGCAGCCAUGCCGCGUGUGUGAAGAAGGCCUUCGGGUUGUAAAGCACUUUCAGCGAUGAGGAAGGUGGUGAGCUUAAUACGCUCAUCAAUUGACGUUACUCGCAGAAGAAGCACCGGCUAACUCCGUGCCAGCAGCCGCGGUAAUACGGAGGGUGCAAGCGUUAAUCGGAAUUACUGGGCGUAAAGCGCACGCAGGCGGUUUGUUAAGUCAGAUGUGAAAUCCCCGGGCUCAACCUGGGAACUGCAUUUGAAACUGGCAAGCUAGAGUCUCGUAGAGGGGGGUAGAAUUCCAGGUGUAGCGGUGAAAUGCGUAGA
Molecule: ribosomal RNA, 656 nt
Filed under: uncultured gamma proteobacterium TIHP302-31
Lineage: Bacteria; Pseudomonadati; Pseudomonadota; Gammaproteobacteria
Description: bacterial SSU rRNA
Rfam family: Bacterial small subunit ribosomal RNA
Source: RNAcentral